This 301-nucleotide ribosomal RNA is filed under the name uncultured bacterium. RNAcentral describes it as "partial 16S ribosomal RNA". It matches the Rfam family "Bacterial small subunit ribosomal RNA", at positions 509 to 807 of the family's 1533-position model. The record is from RNAcentral.
CAGCCGCCACGGUAAAACGUAGGGUGCAAGCGUUAAUCGGAAUUACUGGGCGUAAAGCGUGCGCAGGCGGUUCGCUAAGACAGAUGUGAAAUCCCCGGGCUUAACCUGGGAACUGCAUUUGUGACUGGCGGGCUAGAGUAUGGCAGAGGGGGGUAGAAUUCCACGUGUAGCAGUGAAAUGCGUAGAGAUGUGGAGGAAUACCGAUGGCGAAGGCAGCCCCCUGGGCCAAUACUGACGCUCAUGCACGAAAGCGUGGGGAGCAAACAGGAUUAGAUACCCCUGUAGUCCCUGUCUCUUAUAC